UUUGGUGGCGAUGCGCUUAGGGGAAACACCCGUUCCCAUCCCGAACACGAUGGUUAAGACCUAAGCGGCCGAAAAUACUAUACUGGUAACGGUAUGGGAAGAUAGGUGGCUGCCAAAU
This 118-nucleotide ribosomal RNA is filed under the name Eshraghiella crossota. The record is from RNAcentral. RNAcentral also lists the same sequence under 1 other name. Lineage: Bacteria; Bacillati; Bacillota; Clostridia; Lachnospirales; Lachnospiraceae.